Molecule: ribosomal RNA, 467 nt
Filed under: uncultured bacterium
Lineage: Bacteria
Description: partial 16S ribosomal RNA
Rfam family: Bacterial small subunit ribosomal RNA
Source: RNAcentral
GAUGAACGCUGGCGGCGUGCUUAACACAUGCAAGUCGAACGGAAAGGCCCAAGCUUGCUUGGGUACUCGAGUGGCGAACGGGUGAGUAACACGUGGGUGAUCUGCCCUGCACUUCGGGAUAAGCCUGGGAAACUGGGUCUAAUACUGGAUAGGACCACUUCUUGGAUGUUGUGGUGGAAAGUUUUUUCGGUGUGGGAUGAGCUCGCGGCCUAUCAGCUUGUUGGUGGGGUAAUGGCCUACCAAGGCGUCGACGGGUAGCCGGCCUGAGAGGGUGUACGGCCACAUUGGGACUGAGAUACGGCCCAGACUCCUACGGGAGGCAGCAGUGGGGAAUAUUGCACAAUGGGCGCAAGCCUGAUGCAGCGACGCCGCGUGGGGGAUGACGGCCUUCGGGUUGGAAACUCCUUUCGCUAGGGACGAAGCGUUUUGUGACGGUACCUGGAGAAGAAGCACCGGCUAACUACGUG